GGUUCCAUGGUGCAACGGUUAGCGCUCUGGACUUUGAAUCCAGCAAUCUGAGUUCAUAUCUCGGUGGAACCU
Trichuris trichiura (human whipworm) is the source of this 72-nucleotide non-coding RNA. NCBI's taxonomy places the organism in Eukaryota, Metazoa, Nematoda, Enoplea, Trichinellida, Trichuridae. The record is from Rfam.